This 731-nucleotide ribosomal RNA is filed under the name uncultured bacterium. Its description in RNAcentral is "bacterial SSU rRNA". It matches the Rfam family "Bacterial small subunit ribosomal RNA", at positions 8 to 748 of the family's 1533-position model. The record is from RNAcentral.
AGAGUUUGAUCCUGGCUCAGGACGAACGCUGGCGGCGUGCUUAACACAUGCAAGUCGAACGGAAUCCAUGGUGUAGCAAUACACCGGAAGAUUUAGUGGCGAACGGGUGAGGAUCACGUGAGAAACCUGCCCCAGACUUUGGGAUAACAAUUGGAAACGAUUGCUAAUGCCGAAUGACGUCGGAGAACCGCAUGGUUCACUGACGAAAGGAAAUCCGGUUUGGGAGGGUCUCGCGGCCUAUCAGCUUGUUGGUGGGGUAAUGGCCUACCAAGGCAACGACGGGUAGCUGGUCUGAGAGGAUGAUCAGCCACACUGGGACUGAGACACGGCCCAGGCUCCUACGGGAGGCAGCAGUGGGGAAUCUUGCGCAAUGGGCGAAAGCCUGACGCAGCAACGCCGCGUGCGGGAUGAAGGCCUUCGGGCUGUAAACCGCUUUCAGCAGGAACGAAAAUGACGGUACCUGCAGAAGAAGGAGCGGCCAACUACGUGCCAGCAGCCGCGGUGACACGUAGGCUCCAAGCGUUGUCCGGAUUUAUUGGGCGUAAAGAGCUCGUAGGCGGUUUAGUAAGUCGGGUGUUAAAACUCUGGGCUCAACCCGGAGAGGCCAUCCGAUACUGCUGUGACUUGAGUUCAGGAGGGGAGCGGGGAAUUCCUAGUGUAGCGGUGAAAUGCGCAGAUAUUAGGAGGAACACCGGUGGCGAAGGCGCCGCUCUGGACUGAAACUGACGCUG